RNAcentral lists this ribosomal RNA (459 nucleotides) under uncultured bacterium. Its description in RNAcentral is "partial 16S ribosomal RNA". It matches the Rfam family "Bacterial small subunit ribosomal RNA", at positions 338 to 795 of the family's 1533-position model. The record is from RNAcentral.
CCUACGGGUGGCAGCAGUGAGGAAUAUUGGUCAAUGGCCGAAAGGCUGAACCAGCCAAGUCGCGUGAGGGAAGAAUGUCCUAAGGAUUGUAAACCUCUUUUGUCGGGGAGCAAAAAGGCCCUGCGGAGUCGUAUUGGGAGUAACCGAAGAAAAAGCAUCGGCUAAAUCCGUGCCAGCAGCCGCGGUAAUACGGGGGAUGCGGGCGUUAACCGGUUUUGUUGGGGUAAAAGGGUGCGCCGGCGGCGUGUCAAGCCAGCGGUAAAAUAGCGGGGGUCAACCCGGUCGUGCCGUUUGAACUGGCGCGCUUGAGUUCAGGCGAGGUAGGCGGAAUUCGUGGUGUAGCGGUGAAAUGCAUAGAUAUCACGAAGAACUCCGAUUGCGAAGGCAGCUUACCAGACUGCGACUGACGCUCAGGCACGAAAGUGUGGGUAUCGAACAGGAUUAGAUACCCGGGUAGUC